UACGGAGGGUGCGAGCGUUGUCCGGAAUCACUGGGCGUAAAGGGCGCGUAGGCGGCCUGGCAAGUGGAAGGUGAAAUCCCUCGGCUUAACCGAGGAACUGCCUCCCAAACUGCUUGGCUUGAGACCGGGAGAGGUGAGUGGAAUUCCCAGUGUAGCGGUGAAAUGCGUAGAUAUUGGGAGGAACACCAGUGGCGAAGGCGGCUCACUGGACCGGUACUGACGCUGAUGCGCGAAAGCGCGGGGAGCAAACGGG
Molecule: ribosomal RNA, 253 nt
Filed under: uncultured bacterium
Lineage: Bacteria
Description: partial 16S ribosomal RNA
Rfam family: Bacterial small subunit ribosomal RNA
Source: RNAcentral